RNAcentral lists this ribosomal RNA (376 nucleotides) under uncultured bacterium. RNAcentral describes it as "bacterial SSU rRNA". It matches the Rfam family "Bacterial small subunit ribosomal RNA", at positions 523 to 898 of the family's 1533-position model. The record is from RNAcentral.
AUACGUAGGUCCCGAGCGUUGUCCGGAUUUACUGGGUGUAAAGGGUGCGUAGGCGGCUCUGCAAGUCAGGUGUGAAAACCCUCGGCUUAACUGAUGGACUGCAUUUGAAACUGUGGGGCUUGAGUGGAGUAGAGGCAGACGGAAUUCCCGGUGUAGCGGUGAAAUGCGUAGAGAUCGGGAAGAACACCAGUGGCGAAGGCGGUCUGCUGGGCUCUAACUGACGCUGAGGCACGAAAGCAUGGGUAGCAAACAGGAUUAGAUACCCUGGUAGUCCAUGCCGUAAACGAUGAUUACUAGGUGUGGGGGGUCUGACCCUCUCCGUGCCGGAGUUAACACAAUAAGUAAUCCACCUGGGAAGUACGACCGCAAGGUUGAA